UGGCACACUGGUUAGAGUGCUUGGCUGCUAACCAAAAGGCUGGUGGUUUGAACCCAUC
Molecule: transfer RNA, 58 nt
Filed under: Loxodonta africana (African savanna elephant)
Lineage: Eukaryota; Metazoa; Chordata; Mammalia; Proboscidea; Elephantidae
Source: Rfam by way of RNAcentral